This 72-nucleotide transfer RNA is filed under the name Bos taurus (domestic cattle). It matches the Rfam family "tRNA". Rfam says of the family: Transfer RNA (tRNA) molecules are approximately 80 nucleotides in length. Their secondary structure includes four short double-helical elements and three loops (D, anti-codon, and T loops). The record is from Rfam by way of RNAcentral. Lineage: Eukaryota; Metazoa; Chordata; Mammalia; Artiodactyla; Bovidae. RNAcentral also lists the same sequence under 5 other names.
UCCCUUGUGACUUAGUUGGUAAAGAAUCUGUCUGCAAUGUGGGAGGCCUGGGUUCAAUCCCUGGUUUGGGAA